AUUGAACGCUGGCGGCAGGCCUAACACAUGCAAGUCGAACGGUAACAGGAAACAGCUUGCUGUUUCGCUGACGAGUGGCGGACGGGUGAGUAAUGUCUGGGAAACUGCCUGAUGGAGGGGGAUAACUACUGGAAACGGUAGCUAAUACCGCAUAACGUCGCAAGACCAAAGAGGGGGACCUUCGGGCCUCUUGCCAUCGGAUGUGCCCAGAUGGGAUUAGCUAGUAGGUGGGGUAACGGCUCACCUAGGCGACGAUCCCUAGCUGGUCUGAGAGGAUGACCAGCCACACUGGAACUGAGACACGGUCCAGACUCCUACGGGAGGCAGCAGUGGGGAAUAUUGCACAAUGGGCGCAAGCCUGAUGCAGCCAUGCCGCGUGUAUGAAGAAGGCCUUCGGGUUGUAAAGUACUUUCAGCGGGGAGGAAGGGAGUAAAGUUAAUACCUUUGCUCAUUGACGUUACCCGCAGAAGAAGCACCGGCUAACUCCGUGCCAGCAGCCGCGGUAAUACGGAGGGUGCAAGCGUUAAUCGGAAUUACUGGGCGUAAAGCGCACGCAGGCGGUUUGUUAAGUCAGAUGUGAAAUCCCCGGGCUCAACCUGGGAACUGCAUCUGAUACUGGCAAGCUUUGAGUCUCGUAGAGGGGGGUAGAAUUCCAGGUGUAGCGGUGAAAUGCGUAGAGAUCUGGAGGAAUACCGGUGGCGAAAGGCGUGCCCCCUGGACGAAGAAUGAUGUUCAGGGGCAAAAGUGUGGGGGAGUAAACAGGAUAGAUACCCGGGACCCCAUGGCUGACUUCACAUUCGGAGAUCAAGCCUAUCGUACUCUCCGACUUUUGCGACGGGCCCCUGAUCUUCCAUUUGUUCCUCUAAGGACGGUUCACUAUCCUUUUUCCCUUGUUUGUUCCCUGUGUCUUA
This 911-nucleotide ribosomal RNA is filed under the name uncultured Enterobacteriaceae bacterium. RNAcentral describes it as "bacterial SSU rRNA". It matches the Rfam family "Bacterial small subunit ribosomal RNA". The record is from RNAcentral. Lineage: Bacteria; Pseudomonadati; Pseudomonadota; Gammaproteobacteria; Enterobacterales; Enterobacteriaceae.